This 497-nucleotide ribosomal RNA is filed under the name uncultured bacterium. RNAcentral describes it as "partial 16S ribosomal RNA". It matches the Rfam family "Bacterial small subunit ribosomal RNA", at positions 28 to 507 of the family's 1533-position model. The record is from RNAcentral.
GAUGAACGCUGGCGGCGUGCCUAAUACAUGCAAGUCGAGCGAACAGAUGAGGAGCUUGCUCCUCUGACGUUAGCGGCGGACGGGUGAGUAACACGUGGAUAACCUACCUAUAAGACUGGGAUAACUUCGGGAAACCGGAGCUAAUACCGGAUAAUAUAUUGAACCGCAUGGUUCAAUAGUGAAAGACGGUUUUGCUGUCACUUAUAGAUGGAUCCGCGCCGCAUUAGCUAGUUGGUAAGGUAACGGCUUACCAAGGCAACGAUGCGUAGCCGACCUGAGGGGGUGAUCGGCCACACUGGAACUUAGACACGGUCCAGACUCCUACGGGAGGCAGCAGUAGGGAAUCGUCCGCAAUGGGCGAAAGCCUGACGGAGCAACGCCGCGUGAGUGAUGAAGGUCUUCGGAUCGUAAAACUCUGUUAUUAGGGAAGAACAAAUGUGUAAGUAACUAUGCACGUCUUGACGGUACCUAAUCAGAAAGCCACGGCUAACUACGUG